This is a long non-coding RNA of Pseudophryne corroboree (corroboree frog), 637 nucleotides long. RefSeq lists it as uncharacterized. The record is from RefSeq and is a predicted model, not a curated record. The transcript has 3 exons. NCBI's taxonomy places the organism in Eukaryota, Metazoa, Chordata, Amphibia, Anura, Myobatrachidae.
GGCGCAGCACUGUGGAGGGUGCUGCCGCUGCCUUCUCCAUCCCUGGACUGCUAGCUGACCACUUCUGCCUCCCGAGAUGAGCUCACGGAUAGCCUGAAGCGCUUACAUCUGCAACAGCAGGCAGAGAGAGCCCGAACUGUGGGGUGAGGUGAGCUAGGAGCCUGGAGGGGAAGCCCUGGAACUGGGCUGCACACUGCAGGUGCCAUCUUGCUGCAAGACAACAAAUAUUGUAGUUCAAUCAUCUUGAAAGAUGUGAAGAAGAAAAAACGAUUUCCAUGUUAGAUAACGACGAACAACAUGACAGUUAUUUGAAAUAUGGGACCAAAGGAUGUCUGUGGGUCAUACAGUUAUUACAGAAUUUUAUUGAAAGACAGUGCCGCCCAGGGCUGGAUUAAGAGCCACACGGGCCUGGGGCUGAAAAUCAUCAGGGGCCUAUUGUGAGAAGCAGAGGAGGUGUGGCCAGUGAUGUGUGAGUGUGGCAAGUGCCAUCAAAAUAAAUAAAUCUGGGCCAUUGUUUUAUAUUUGUAGAAUAAUUUGUGGCUCCACAGUUUUCCUCAUUAUUGCCAGAUGAGAGCACACUUGCUUCAGUUCUACGGUAAAAGAAUUCUAGUUUAAUCAAGACGGCCAUUUCUCAUAU